AACACAUGCAAGUCGAGCGGUAACAGAAAUUAGCUUGCUAAUUUGCUGACGAGCGGCGGACGGGUGAGUAAUGCCUGGGAAUAUGCCUUAGUGUGGGGGAUAACUAUUGGAAACGAUAGCUAAUACCGCAUAAUGUCUUCGGACCAAAGAGGGGGACCUUCGGGCCUCUCGCGCUAAGAUUAGCCCAGGUGAGAUUAGCUAGUUGGUGAGGUAAGAGCUCACCAAGGCGACGAUCUCUAGCUGGUCUGAGAGGAUGAUCAGCCACACUGGAACUGAGACACGGUCCAGACUCCUACGGGAGGCAGCAGUGGGGAAUAUUGCACAAUGGGCGAAAGCCUGAUGCAGCCAUGCCGCGUGUAUGAAGAAGGCCUUCGGGUUGUAAAGUACUUUCAGUCGUGAGGAAGGGUAUGUAGUUAAUAGCUGCAUAUCUUGACGUUAGCGACAGAAGAAGCACCGGCUAACUCCGUGCCAGCAGCCGCGGUAAUACGGAGGGUGCGAGCGUUAAUCGGAAUUACUGGGCGUAAAGCGCAUGCAGGUGGUUCAUUAAGUCAGAUGUGAAAGCCCGGGGCUCAACCUCGGAACCGCAUUUGAAACUGGUGAACUAGAGUGCUGUAGAGGGGGGUAGAAUUUCACGUGUAGCGGUGAAAUGCGUAGAGAUCUGAAGGAAUACCAGUGGCGAAAGCGGCCCCUGGACAGACACUGACACUCAGAUGCGAAAGCGUGGGGAACAAACAGGAUUAGAUACCCUGGUAGUCCACGCCGUAAACGAUGUCUACUUGGAGUUGUGGCCUUGCGCCGUGGCCUUCGGAGCUAACGCGUUAAGUAGACGCCUGGGGAGUACGGUCGCA
Molecule: ribosomal RNA, 848 nt
Filed under: uncultured Vibrio sp.
Lineage: Bacteria; Pseudomonadati; Pseudomonadota; Gammaproteobacteria; Vibrionales; Vibrionaceae
Description: bacterial SSU rRNA
Rfam family: Bacterial small subunit ribosomal RNA
Source: RNAcentral